CUGGCAGUUUUGGCAAUUGAAGUCUUUUGCUCAUCCACAAAAUAGGUACAGCAUGGGCAGCAAAAGUGAAAAUGUUUCCCACAAUGUCCUGUCAGCAUUCCUCGACUUGGAGGAAGCCAUUUCCAGAGGAAAUGAGUGCUUCAUUCCCUAUUCCCUUCAGUCCUUGGCCUCU
Chelonoidis abingdonii (Abingdon island giant tortoise) is the source of this 172-nucleotide unclassified non-coding RNA. Lineage: Eukaryota; Metazoa; Chordata; Testudines; Testudinidae. The record is from Ensembl.